This 250-nucleotide unclassified non-coding RNA is filed under the name uncultured fungus. Its description in RNAcentral is "sequence contains 18S rRNA gene, ITS1, 5.8S rRNA gene, ITS2". The record is from RNAcentral. Lineage: Eukaryota; Fungi.
CGCGGCACACAUUCCAUGAGACUUUAUUACAGGGUGUGUGUAAAGACGUAGAGCCACAGAAGGAAGACAGAGUCUCCCAGACCAUAGAACUACAAAGGGUGCACAGGUGUGAGUGGAUGUGUAAACAGAGCGUGCACAUGCCCCCGUUUGAGGACCAGCAACAACUCGUGUUGACAGUUCAGUAAUGAUCCUUCCGCAGGUUCACCUACGGAAACCUUGUUACGACUUUUACUUCCUCUAAUGACCAAGA